Molecule: ribosomal RNA, 790 nt
Filed under: Pantoea dispersa
Lineage: Bacteria; Pseudomonadati; Pseudomonadota; Gammaproteobacteria; Enterobacterales; Erwiniaceae
Description: bacterial SSU rRNA
Rfam family: Bacterial small subunit ribosomal RNA
Source: RNAcentral
UGCAAGUCGAACGGCAGCACAGAAGAGCUUGCUCUUUGGGUGGCGAGUGGCGGACGGGUGAGUAAUGUCUGGGAAACUGCCCGAUGGAGGGGGAUAACUACUGGAAACGGUAGCUAAUACCGCAUAACGUCGCAAGACCAAAGUGGGGGACCUUCGGGCCUCACACCAUCGGAUGUGCCCAGAUGGGAUUAGCUAGUAGGUGGGGUAAUGGCUCACCUAGGCGACGAUCCCUAGCUGGUCUGAGAGGAUGACCAGCCACACUGGAACUGAGACACGGUCCAGACUCCUACGGGAGGCAGCAGUGGGGAAUAUUGCACAAUGGGCGCAAGCCUGAUGCAGCCAUGCCGCGUGUAUGAAGAAGGCCUUCGGGUUGUAAAGUACUUUCAGCGGGGAGGAAGGCGGUGAGGUUAAUAACCUUGCCGAUUGACGUUACCCGCAGAAGAAGCACCGGCUAACUCCGUGCCAGCAGCCGCGGUAAUACGGAGGGUGCAAGCGUUAAUCGGAAUUACUGGGCGUAAAGCGCACGCAGGCGGUCUGUUAAGUCAGAUGUGAAAUCCCCGGGCUUAACCUGGGAACUGCAUUUGAAACUGGCAGGCUUGAGUCUCGUAGAGGGGGGUAGAAUUCCAGGUGUAGCGGUGAAAUGCGUAGAGAUCUGGAGGAAUACCGGUGGCGAAGGCGGCCCCCUGGACGAAGACUGACGCUCAGGUGCGAAAGCGUGUGGAGCAAACAGGAUUAUAUACCCUGGUNUUCCACGCCGUAUACGAUGUCGACUUGCAGGUUGUGCCCUUGA